RNAcentral lists this long non-coding RNA (1189 nucleotides) under Homo sapiens (human). Its description in RNAcentral is "HSALNT0289745". Lineage: Eukaryota; Metazoa; Chordata; Mammalia; Primates; Hominidae. The record is from RNAcentral.
ACCGCUGCCCCGGGAGACCCCCGGCGGCCCGGCCCUGCGGGGACCGGGCGGGAUGGGGACCGGGGCAGUGGACCCUCGGAGUUGGGAUGGGGCGGGGGGAACGCGGGCGUGGAGCCCUCCGGGGACAGGGUAAGGUUGGGUAACCGUGGGCGGGGGCUCCUCCAGGGGCGGGGGUGGGGUAACGGCGGGCGGGGGGCACUCAAGCGACAGGGCAGGGGCGGGAAGGCCGCGGGCGGGGGCGGUCCCUCCGGGGACGGGGCGGGUGGGGGCACCGCGGGCGAGAUCGCUUCCUGCAGAGGAGGCAACAGGCCCCGCUAGCAGGUCAGGGUCCCGGGCAGGCGCAGGUGCCCCCCGGCCUCUCAAGCAGGGACUGCGGCGAGCUCAGACGCGGCUGACGGGCAGAGACUCGCGCUUGGGCUCAGUGCGUGUGAAGUGGGCCUCGGGCUGCGGAGGAGGGCAGCACCCCGUGGCUCCUCGCGCUGCUGCGAGCAGGGCCGCCUGGCAGGGGCGGGGGCCGGUGGGCGGGAGUGUCGGGGUAAGGCCGCGGACUCCUCCCAUGCCGCUGAGCAGUGGACAGCGGGGACUGGAGACCUCCAGGCCUGCACCAGCACAGCUGAAGGGGAGAGAGACCCAACCUCAUCCACUGGGCCUCCCCUCAACCAGGGCCACAACCUCAAGGGGCCAUGCCACCUCCAACACCUAUUUCCCACCUUCUACUCUCUCCACACCCUGGGACACCACCCGCCUCUCUCAGCUGACGUUUUCCUUCUUGUUUUGUGUGCAUGGUGCUUGUGUGAGAAAGUGGACACACAGUAAGUGCGGCUUCCAGAUGCGUCCGCCACCUGCCCUCCGUGCCACGCGCUUCCCCCUACCUAGGGGAGCCUCCACCAGACAGGGAACCCACGCCUUGCCACCCUUCUCUCUCCCUCCCACUUCACCUGUCCGCAUCAUUUCUGGAGCCCUUUCUUUCUGGCACGAGAUGCUCCAGGGCCCUGUUGUAUUCUCCCUGCCCCAGCCUGAACCCAGCUAUUUCUGCUGCAGCCUGGUUCAUUGUGGGAGAAUGUCAUGCAGAGCCCGGGAUCUGGCUCCGGAUGUGCUCAUUGCUACUGGGGUGUCAUUGCAGCUGGCGGAGCAAGGGAACACAUCUAUGUACAUGCCCACACGCAUAUGUAUACACACAGUUUCAUGG